CCCUCACGGCGCUCCCCCCCAGGACAGCCCAAAACCGCCCCGAAAAUACCCAAAACCGCCCCAAAAAUACCCAAAUCCGCCGCCAAAAAUACCCAAAACCGCCCCGAAACCACCAUAAACCACCCGAAAAGCACCUCCGGGACCGCCUUUGGAGCUCAGCUGUCCGUGUGUCCAUCCCGGGGGCCACGCCCCCAGCGCUUCCCCGACCCGUUAAUUAAUUCAUUCAUUGAUUAAUGGAUGGAUUAAUUAGCGCGGCGGUAAUUGGGGGGCGGCGCUCAUCGGAGCAUUACGGCAGCGCGCAUGCGCGGAUUCGGCCGCUGCCGUAAUUACGGGAGGAGCGAGCGCUCCCCAAAUUCCCCCAAAAAUCCCCAAAAAUCACAAAGGGAAACAAAUAAAAUAAAGCCCAAAACAGCCAAAAAUCCCUGAAAAUCCACAAAUCCCAAAAGUCCCAAAGAACUCGAACUGCCCCAAAAAUAACUCAAGAAAAUCUCCCAAAAAACCCCAGAAAAUCCCCCCAAAAUUAAAAAAAAAAAAAAACAAAAAAAAA
Molecule: long non-coding RNA, 547 nt
Organism: Passer domesticus (house sparrow)
Lineage: Eukaryota; Metazoa; Chordata; Aves; Passeriformes; Passeridae
Exons: 2
Source: RefSeq, a predicted model, not a curated record